AGGUUGGGGUGACCUCGGAGUACAAAAUAACCUCCGAGUGAUUUAAAUCAAGACUUACCAGUCAAAAAUAAUACAUCAUUUAUUGAUCCAAAAAAUAAUUUGAUCAACGGAACAAGUUACCCUAGGGAUAACAGCGC
RNAcentral lists this ribosomal RNA (137 nucleotides) under Hemigalus derbyanus (banded palm civet). RNAcentral's name for it is "partial 16S ribosomal RNA". The record is from RNAcentral. Lineage: Eukaryota; Metazoa; Chordata; Mammalia; Carnivora; Viverridae.